Molecule: ribosomal RNA, 362 nt
Filed under: Baalrog yacato
Lineage: Eukaryota; Metazoa; Arthropoda; Arachnida; Schizomida; Hubbardiidae
Description: partial small subunit ribosomal RNA
Source: RNAcentral
AAAUAAUAAAGUAUUUGAUUAAAUUUUAUAUGAAAUUCAAUUAUAAAGUUUGUAAAUAUUGGCAGUAUUUAUUUAAAUUCUGAGAAACUUGCUUAAUUAAAAUGAUAUUACACAGUUUAUCUUAUCUUAAUGUUUGGUUUAUGUAUUGCUGUUUAAUUUAUAAAUUAAAUGUUUGUUUAAAUAAGUAUAAUGAUAAAAUAAAGAAUAAGAAUUUCAAGUCAAAAUAUAGUUAUAUUAAGGUUUAAGUGAGUUGCUUUUUUUUAGAAAAUUAGAAUAAUUAUUUUUAAUGAAAAAUUUUUGAAUAAAGGAUUAGGUUGUAAAAAAAAAUUAGUAAGUUUUUUUGAUAAAAUUUAUAAAUGUGU